Molecule: long non-coding RNA, 541 nt
Organism: Mangifera indica (mango)
Lineage: Eukaryota; Viridiplantae; Streptophyta; Magnoliopsida; Sapindales; Anacardiaceae
Exons: 2
Source: RefSeq, a predicted model, not a curated record
AGAUUUUGUUUGGUUUUCAAAGCUAGCUUUCCAUUUUAGGAGAGCUUUUGCCUCUUCAGUAGCAGAGGCAGAAGCAACAACACAUAAGAACUGGACAACAAGGAGAACGGUGAAGUUUAUCGAAUUUAAUGUGGGAAAUUGCAGUCCAACACUUUCCAAGGGUGCCGGAAUUUGGAAUUGGAACUUGGAAGUUGCAUUGGAAGAGUUGAUUAGUUGGAGGAGGUAAGAAGCUUGGGAUAGGAUUUCUUCCUUGCGAUCACGCCAACUCGGAAGAAAGAUACUUGUUACCUAUCUCACCUCCUUUGAUUAGAAAGAUCGGCUUAAGGCUUGAGAUAGAAGAAAGGCACUUUUUGUUGAUCUUUGAAGGGACACUGCCUGAGUUGAUAAUCAAUCUAUCGCUCAAAUUCUUCCACAGCUGAUGAUCAAAUUUAUUUGAGCAAAAAUUGUUUUCUCAAUAAUUCAUUUUUUUCUGUUUUUGUAAAUAGUCAUCCAGCCUACUAAAAAUCACAUCAGCGUGAAAAGAAAUGGACAAGUUAGAAUC